AUUGAACGCUGGCGGCAUGCUUUACACAUGCAAGUCGAGCGGCAGCGCGGGGGCAACCCUGGCGGCGAGCGGCGAACGGGUGAGUAAUGCAUCGGAACGUAUCCUCGAGUGGGGGAUAACCCAGCGAAAGUUGGGCUAAUACCGCAUGAGCUCUGAGGAGGAAAGCGGGGGACCUGCGAGGGCCUCGCGCUGGAGGAGCGGCCGAUGUCCGAUUAGCUAGUUGGUGGGGUAAAGGCUUACCAAGGCGACGAUCGGUAGCUGGUCUGAGAGGAUGAUCAGCCACACUGGGACUGAGACACGGCCCAGACUCCUACGGGAGGCAGCAGUGGGGAAUUUUGGACAAUGGGGGCAAGCCUGAUCCAGCAAUGCCGCGUGAGGGAAGAAGGCCUUCGGGUUGUAAAGCUCUUUUGGACGGAACGAAAUGGGCGGGACUAAUACUCCUGUCUGAUGACGGUACCGUAAGAAGAAGCACCGGCUAACUACGUG
RNAcentral lists this ribosomal RNA (486 nucleotides) under uncultured bacterium. Its description in RNAcentral is "partial 16S ribosomal RNA". It matches the Rfam family "Bacterial small subunit ribosomal RNA", at positions 29 to 507 of the family's 1533-position model. The record is from RNAcentral.